AGUAACACGUAGAUAACCUACCUAUAAGACUGGGAUAACUUCGGGAAACCGGAGCUAAUACCGGAUAACAUGUUGAACCGCAUGGUUCAACAGUGAAAGACGGUCUUGCUGUCACUUAUAGAUGGAUCCGCGCCGCAUUAGCUAGUUGGUAAGGUAGCGGCUUACCAAGGCAACGAUGCGUAGCCGACCUGAGAGGGUGAUCGGCCACACUGGAACUGAGACACGGUCCAG
RNAcentral lists this ribosomal RNA (231 nucleotides) under uncultured Staphylococcus sp. Its description in RNAcentral is "partial 16S ribosomal RNA". It matches the Rfam family "Bacterial small subunit ribosomal RNA", at positions 109 to 334 of the family's 1533-position model. The record is from RNAcentral. Lineage: Bacteria; Bacillati; Bacillota; Bacilli; Caryophanales; Staphylococcaceae.